Long non-coding RNA from Vigna unguiculata (cowpea), 248 nucleotides. NCBI's taxonomy places the organism in Eukaryota, Viridiplantae, Streptophyta, Magnoliopsida, Fabales, Fabaceae. The record is from RefSeq and is a predicted model, not a curated record.
UCAAAAGAAUGGGGAUUAUCAAUAAACCAAUUGGAGUUAUUAAAUAUCCAGAUGUUGUAAAAGGGUUACACGUUGCCUCAAUCAGAGGCCACCAUUCAAGGUUUUAAAGGCAAAAGCUAUACUGACGAAGAGAUUGAAGUCAUACUUAGAAGGAGUAGAAGUGUUGAAAUAUUAUGAAAUCUUAUUGGUAAGUAAAGUAGUCAUUUGUAAAAAAAGAAAAUUAUUGUUAAGAAGAAAAAUAGUAAAAA